UGAUAACUCCUGGCACAACCAUUAAGACCCUCAUCUAUAGUGAAUUGGAACAAAGCACAGGUGACUGUAACACAGAUUGAUGAAAGAUUCUGCAGGACGACAAAGGUUAAAGAUGCAGACCCGGAGCUAGAAGCCAGCACUGACACUGAUGGAGUGGACUGCGAUGAGAAUGCCCACAUUAUUGUCCUAUCCUCUGAUAACCAAUGUAAUAUGAAAACCGACUACAGAAGAAAGGAACAAAUUAAGUCCAUUAAUCAAGCAUAUCUCUGCUAAACAGUUGUUCGAAACUGAUGAACAAAUGAAAAAUUUACUGUUUGUUUUCAUGCUUGCAAGGAUUGGGGAAGAAAAUUAAUUAUAAGGUACUGGCCACACUAUCAGUUAAGUUUUUCUUGAGGAAACUAUUGCUUUGUCAAAGGACAAAUGAACCUCAUUAGGGAGAUUAGUUUCAGCUGGUAGUUUUGCAUUAGUACAAACUAAUAAUACACACUUCAAAAGAUACCCUGAGUAAGAUUAUGAAAAUUGAAAUCCAUUUGUUACUUCUUAAUUUACUAACUGUUAGAAAAUGACCACUCUAUUACUUAUCAUGAAACCAGAAG
Molecule: long non-coding RNA, 596 nt
Filed under: Pan troglodytes (chimpanzee)
Lineage: Eukaryota; Metazoa; Chordata; Mammalia; Primates; Hominidae
Description: lincRNA
Source: RNAcentral